UAAGCACUUUCUUUUCAAAGUUUGUGCAUCAUAGGUAUCAAAUGCUCCUAUCGUCCCUUUGAUGUGUGCACAUUUAAUGUUUGUAUUUGCUGAGAAGUUUUGAUAAUUCUUGUUCAUGCACAUUGUGAAUUGCCUGAAUUGUCCACCGUACUUGGUUUAGUUAAUAGAUCUAAAGAAGCAAUUGCUGCUGCGCAACUUAAGAG
This is a non-coding RNA of Cinara cedri, 203 nucleotides long. Lineage: Eukaryota; Metazoa; Arthropoda; Insecta; Hemiptera; Aphididae. The record is from the annotation of a GenBank genome assembly.